Exaiptasia diaphana is the source of this 664-nucleotide long non-coding RNA. RefSeq lists it as uncharacterized. The transcript is spliced from 4 exons. NCBI's taxonomy places the organism in Eukaryota, Metazoa, Cnidaria, Anthozoa, Actiniaria, Aiptasiidae. The record is from RefSeq and is a predicted model, not a curated record.
GAGAGUGUUGAAACACAACAGAAUCCAGUAUUAUAGUCCAUGAUGGGCAUUCAGAAUAGUGCAAGAGGAGUAUAAAGGAUAGCCAAACCUGCAUCAGGGGGAUGUCGGCAUUUAAGGUUGUUUGCUGUUCUUAGAGUGACAAAUGAAUGCCGCCAAAACCUUUGAGUGUUUACUGUUGCUUAAUGAAAAUAGAUGGCUAUGACAACACAAACUUGGACUCUGAACACAACAAUUCUCAUCAACUUUGCAGUAAACAUGCCAGCAAGAUGACGGACUUCAAAUACAAAAGUACACAUGUAUCAUUGAAAUAGAGCCAAAUGUCUUUGUUUAAGGAUAAUUUCAGAUAUUGGUUAUGAUGAUGGUUAUUUUAUCUAUUUAUUUCACACUUCCUUCACUUCCAACAUCCAAGAAGAGUCCUUUUCACAUUAUCAACAGGGUUAUUUGCAGCAAGAGCUAUCUCCUACAAUUCUCACACUUCUUUCCGACUAUUGCUAUCACAGGACAAGGAUGACUGUUGUUGCUGCAGUUGGCCUUAAUUCCGCCUUUUGUCUGAGCUCCACAAAUGACUUCAUAGCUUAAUAUUGUAAUUGAGCAUGACUAUAAUUCAGCAUUGGUCAUUCCCUAUAUGAGCGAUAAUCUGAAUAAACACAUUAAUCUAGCAUGA